Molecule: long non-coding RNA, 494 nt
Filed under: Daphnia pulicaria
Lineage: Eukaryota; Metazoa; Arthropoda; Branchiopoda; Diplostraca; Daphniidae
Description: uncharacterized LOC124350256, transcript variant X1
Source: RNAcentral
AGUUAGUGCUGGUUGCAGCUACUGGCCCUUUGCGACGUCUUGAUAUCAGUUUGGGAUAAUAGCUGGACUCUGGGGAAUCCUCACUCACACUUGAGACAGGUCGGCCAGUUUGUCCAGACAGGAUGCCCUUCACGCUUGAAGGUACAAUAGCCGCAAGGGUUAAGAGGUGGGUCAGGGUGAGGAAAAAUCGUAUAAAAGGAAAGAAAUAUCGUAGAAAAGUCGACAGGGAUUAGUUGAGUGAUUGUCUCCGACGCGGCAACAACUGCCGUGCAUUAUUUGCCAUCAGCUGCACCAGGCUGCAUUCUUUGUCACGUUAUCAGUUCGCAAUCAUGGACUUAUUAAAGGAGAGAGAAAUGUGAAAGAUAUCAGUCGAGAUUUCCGACACGGCAACAACUGCAGCGCACUAUAUGUCACCAGCUGCAUUCUUCAUUGUAUUAUCAUUUCGCAAUCAUGGUAAACUAUGGCGUCGUGCUGCUGUUGGGUGUUGAAUCGUU